Molecule: long non-coding RNA, 9648 nt
Filed under: Nicotiana tabacum (common tobacco)
Lineage: Eukaryota; Viridiplantae; Streptophyta; Magnoliopsida; Solanales; Solanaceae
Description: long non-coding RNA (NTAB_LNC012873)
Source: RNAcentral
CCUCUCAUAAUUAGAACCCUACUCCCUUCCCCAUUCAAGACCUAGACCUAAGUGAUAGAGAUAGACCCUCCCCACUCUGAAAAGAACAAAAAUGACACUCUCAUCUGGAAGAAGCUCUCAUCUUCAACAGUGCAACCAUGACCCCUCCCCUUUAAUCCUCUAAAAGGAAACGCAGCAGCGGCGCAAGAGAGGGCCAAAAAAUGGGAAAAUCAAUCUCUUCUUCUUCUCCGUCUUCUUCACUCUCUCUAAUGGUCGUCACGGCCGACUCAUGUCAGUGACCAUCGACGACCACACUGCACCCCUGCUCUUCCUCUCUCAUUCUCACCAGCGAGUUAAGGCCAGAAUCCGGCCAGCCACCGAACCCCCAUGAUUUCCUCCUCCGGACAGACUCCUUUUCUUGAAGAAUAUAUAUAAAAAAUAAUAACAAAAAGAGAAGAUUGGAAAAGCUGGUCUGAUUUCUACUGCUUUGGUUAAAAAAUUUCUGGUGGAUUGAGUCAAUUUCGGACCUAAAUCGAAGUUGUGCUGUUGUUUGCGCAUCUCUGGGCUCUUCUCGUCUUCGCGCGCUUGAUUUGGCUUGUAAAUAUUUCGUUUGGUUGGCUUCAAAUUAGCUGAGUUUGAUCGUCUGGAUUUCAGACCUUUAUUUGGUCUCAGUUUCCAUUGAUUUCCUGUUUUAGGUAAGUUACACUAGUCUGUAAUCACUUAUUGAAUUUAUGACUGGAACAUGAGUUUGUUUAUGCUAAAUUACUGUUUCUACUUAUGUUUUUGAAAUGGUAUGUUCAAUUUGAAAUCAUUUGUCAUCUUAGUUGAGCUUUGCUUUUAGUGCUGACUGUUAGAGAUAUUGAUUCAAUUUGUGGUUUGAAGUUAGAAUCGAUUAGUCCAUGGAUUUGACCACUAGUUGGUCAAAUUCAACAAUUGAAGGUGUCUCAAGCCCAAAUCAAGCCAUUAUGAGACAUCGUGAGCUAAUGUUUGUCAAGUUGAAAGGCGUUGCGGAUGAAAUUGAAGGUUACAACUAUUAUAGCAAUUCAUCAAGUGUAGUAAACUUAAUCAGUCAGGAUUAUGUAGUUUGCUUUCUUAUUAUAGUUGUAAUCUAAUAAAAAAAGCCAUGUAGUUGUAAUUUGAAGUUUCCCUUAUAUGUGUAGUUCAUCUUUAAUUCCUGAAUAUUUGUUUGAUAAAAUGAUUCAAAUUAGUAUGAAUGUUUAAGCUGUUGUUUCGUUUUUCUAUCAUUGGUAAAUUGAGUAGUAGUAAAUAGACUUAACUAGAUGUUUGGAAAUUUGUUAAUCAGACUAGGAGAUGAAAGAGCAAUUCGUCUUUUCCAAUACUUGUAAAUGUUGAUGAAACGAGAGAGAGAAGAAGGAUGAUUGAGUUGCUUUUAGAAGUGGUUCUUCAUUUCUGUCAACGUACUUGAUCAUUGAGUUGUUUUGCAUAAAAAGCUUGGCAUAGUAAUACAUCUCUAAAAUUUUGUUCUGACUUCUGAGUCAUCAAAAGAGUUCUCGGUGGUUGAGAAGUGCUUUGUCCUGUGUCAUUUAGGAGCUUCUUAGGUAGCUUAUGUGAGAAACCACUAUGGAGGCCAAGCCAAUUCAUUUAGGCCAGUCUAAAUAAAUGAUCAAACGGAAUUCAUUUGGAUGUUGUUUGGGCUUGAAUAAAGGCCCAUAUGUCUUUCCUACAAUUAGGACUGGACCCAUGCACAAUCUCAAACCUUAGGAAAUAAUCACUUAUGAACACGUGUAGUUGCUUUAGGUGUGAUUAAUAAUAAAUCAUUGCGACUAUGGGUAUGGUUCCCAUGGCAUAGGUAUGAUACAUAAUUUUCAAAUUCGGGGUACAUUUAUGUGACCCGGCCACAACUUCUAAUAACUUUAACAAAUUAAACAUGUUGUAGAUCGUGGGUACGGUUCCCGUGGCAUGAUUCAUAAUGUGUAUCAAACAAACAAGUGUACGACAAUCGUAACUUGUUCCAUAAUAAUUCCAUAAAAUAAGUAAAAGCAGUUUAAAAGUUUAAAAAUGCACACUAGGUAAAUCAGAUAAUUAGGCAAAUUUUAAUAGUUUAAGCGACUGUGCUCGAACCACAGAACUCGGGAAUGCCUAACACCUUCUCCCGGGUUAACAGAAUUCCUUAUCUAGAAUUUCUUGUUUCGCAGACUUUUAAAUAAAGUCAAAUUUCCUCGAUUUGGGAUUUAAAAAUAAACCGGUGACUUGGGACACAAAAAUAAAUUAUUCCAAGUGGCGACUCUGAAAAAUAAAUAAAAUAAUCCCAUUUCAAUUUAUGUCACUUUAAUUGAAAAAAACUCCCUUAUAUCCCCCCUCGGGUGGUAAAAAGGAGGUGUGACAAACACAUGGAACACCGGAUGUAUUGUUGAUUUAACUAGGUGGCAAUGCAAGCAUGUAAACCACCUCUCCCACUCUCUCAAGAAUCUGAAAAGGUCCAAUGUACCUUGGGCUCAACCUGCGAUUCUUUCCGAACCUCAUCACACCCUUCAUGGGUGAAUGUCACGACCCAAAACUAACCCUGUCAUGAUGGCGCCUAACAUGGUACCAGGCAAGCCGACACACUACCAAAACCAAUCAAUAUUUUCAUUUUUAAAACAAAACCAAAGCUAUUUAACAAUAAACCUGCAUAAGGAGUUUCAAUCAAAACAAGAGUAUGGAAAGAAAGCCCGAUAACGGGGUGUCACUAGUCAUGAGCUUCUACUACAACCGUCUAACAACAUCAAGACUAACAUAACCUGCAAAUAACUGAAUACAACUAAGGGCGGAUAAGGAGGGAGAAAAGCAGGGCUGCGAUCGCUAGGCAACUACCUUACUAACUCCAAUGGACCUGUCACUGAGUAAUCAACACCCGCUACCGGGAUUAGAAAUACCUGGAUCUGCAUACAAGGUUCAGGGAGUAAUGUGAGUACACCAACUCAGUAUGUAAUAAAAGCAAAUAGAGACUGAGCAGUACUGACGAGCAAUAAAACAUAUACAGUUCAUAUCAUGAAAUCUCAGUAAAAUACAACAGACUUUUAAAAUCAGGGUUUUGAAUCAAUUCAACUCAUUUAAAUCCAGUUUCAGUAAAACCAUUUAAAAACAUCUUUCAAUACUUUUCAAACAAAGUGAUGAAACAGUGAGUAAAAAAAUGAUGAAAACAUAAUCAGCCCAUCGGGCAAAACUCACUCGUAUAUAGCCCCUUGAGCAACAUAAAUCAUAAACAGCCCUUCGGGCAAACAUCACUCAUAUACAACCCUUCGGGCAAACAUGAAUCAUAAACAAUCCCUCAGGCAUACCUCACAAUCACUCGUAAACAGCCCUUCGGGCACAACAUGAAUCAAGAACAGCCCCUUGGGCAAAAUAUCAUAUCACUCACUCAGGGUACCCGCGCUUACUAGGGGUGUACAAACUUCGGAGAGGCUCCUACAACCCAAGUGAUAUAACAAGCCACCUCGUGGCAUAAAUCAAUCAGGCCCUCAGCCUCAUAACAAGCCACCUCAUGGCAUAAAUCAUUCUGGCCCGCGGCCUCACAAAAAUCAUGAAUUAAUAACAAUAUGCUGCGGUAUGCAGUCCGAUCCCAUAAUAUCCUUACAACACAGGCCCUUGGUCUCACUCAGUCAGAAACCUCUCAAGCCACUCGGGCUAUCACUAACACAGGGUACUCAGCCCAAAAUAUCAUUUUAUGCAUCAUAAAGAAGUAAUAAAGACUGAGUUAUGAAAUCAGUAAACACAACAUGACUAAGUAUAUAUCUUAAAUCAAAAACAGUGAGAGGAUAAUAAGAAAAAGACCCUAAGGGUCCAAACAGCUCUGGCAUAAGGCCCAAAUAUGGCAUUCGGCCAAAUUUAUAGGAAAUUCUUUCUAAAACACAUAAGUAUCAUAUAAUUUAAGUCAAAUACACAAUUUUAUAGUUGCUACGGGACGGACCAAGUCACAAUCCCCAACGGUGCACGCCCACACGCUCGUCACCUAGCAUGUGCGUCACCUCAAAAUAGUAAAACAAUGUGAAAUCCGGGGUUUCAUACCCUCAGGACUAGAUUUACAAUCAUUACUUACCUCAAACAAGCCAAUUCCAAUACCGAGCAAGCCAAGCGAUGCUCCAAAAAUGCCAUCUCGCACGUUCCGACCUCCGAACGGAUCGAAACUAACAAAAAACAACUCAAAUACAUCAAACAAUGCUAAAGGAACUAAUCUCAAUCGAAAAUGUCAAAUCUUUAAUAAAAAGCCCAUAAUCGGCCAAAAAGCCUAGCCCGGUCUCGCUUCUCGAAACCUGAUAAAACUCACAACAUCCGACAACCCAUUCAGUUAUGAGUCCAACCAUACUAGUUUCAUCCAAUUCCGACUCCGAAUCGAUGUUCAAAAUUUAAAAAUUUAUUUUAAGAAACUUUAGGCAAAACCGCCCAAAUUUCACUUUGAAAUCAUCAAUCAAAUGCCAAAAACAAAGAUGGAUUUAUGAAAUAUAACUAAAACCGAGUAGAGAACACUUACCCCAAUCCAUAUGGUAAAAAUAGCCUCCAAAUCGCCCAAAUCUGAGCUCCCCAACUCAAAAUAUUACCAAAUGAACAAAUCCUUAUUUAUAUAUUUUUCUGCCAGCUAUUUUGCCUCAAUUCUCAUGUCAAAUGAUCCUGAAACUCACUUUUGAUGCCUCCAAUGGAUUCUUUGUGAAAUUUUAGUCAAGUUAGGCUCUUGAAUCACUCCAUUUGACCUUAUAUUGAAGGAGAUAUGUUGGUUUCAAUAUUUGAAAAUAGUGCAUAUUUUUAAAUACGAAUUCAGUGGUAAUUUCGUAAUUAAUUUGAAAAAUCUGACAACCCAAUUCUUAGUAAAAUGAUCAUAAAAUUCUCAUACGAUGUCCAAAUUCGAUGAUUCUUUUUAUAUGACUCCAUAAUUAUGAUACGGAUCUAAUGCUUCCAUAAAAAAAAAUAUCGGAGGUCAUUUGCUUAAUGUAGUACCAUUUAUGCUUGUAAAACGACGCCGAAACAUUAAAAAAACAAGCGCAACACAACCCAAACAUAUACGAAACUCACCCGAGCCCCUCGGGACCCUGUUUGAACAUACAAACAAGUCCCAUAUCAUAACACAGACCUACUCGAGGCCUCAAAACACACAUAACAACAUCCAAACGACGAAUCACACCUCAAUUCGAAAUCAAUGAACUUGAAACUUAAAACUUCCACAACCGAUGCCGAGACCUAUCAAAUUCCGUCCGAUUGACAUCAAAUUUUGCACAUUGGUCGUAUUUGACAUUAUGGACCUGAUCCAACUUCCGGAAUCAGAAUCCAACCCCGAUAUCAAAAAGUCCACUCCCGGUCAAACUCUCCAAAAUUCAAACUUUCGCUAUUUCAAGCCAAAUUCUACUACGGACCCCCAAUUCAAAAUCCGGACGCGCUCCUAAGUCCAAAAUCACCCAGCGGAGCUAACAAAACCAUCAGAAAUCCAAUCCGAGGUCAAAUUAUAGAAAUUCAAAACUUGGUUAAACCUUUCAAAUUUAAAGCUUCUAGCUGAGAAUCAUUCUUCCAAAUCAAUUCCAAAUAACCUAAAAGCCAAAACCGACGAUUCACAUAAGUCAUAAUACUUCAUAUGAAGAUACUUAUGCCCUCAAACAACUGAGCGAAGUUCAAAUGCUCAAAACAACAGGUCGGGUCGUUACAACCUCCCCUACUUAAACAUACGUUCGUCCUCGAACGUGGCAGGAGUUAUUCUAAAAGCCAUCAAAUCGCCGUGUAACCUCACUAUGCACAUACUCGAGGGUGAUCCCACAUCACCCUAUCCCAUAUUGGUCUGAUAACACAACAUGACUAAAAUUUGUUAAUCUAACCUAGUCCAUAAGUCUUAGGUCCCAAUUUCCAACUUUCGAAAUUUUCUAUAAGAUCAGAAUCUCGCAUCUACACACUGUAUAAGUCCGAACAAGCUAUAUCAAACCAUAUCCGUAACCCAAGAUGUAAUCACAUGAUACACCACAUAACUCAAACACUCAUGGCGAUAACUCCUAAUCACAGUAGUUUCUCAAAAUAACCCAAUACCAGUAAUACACCUCUUAACAAACAAAGCCUCGUUCUAACAUUUUAAUAUGCUGCCAAUGAUGAAAGAAACACGAAAAACUCAUAACUAUUCAUCAAAUCAACAAGUCAUGGAGCUCCCACUUCUCCGACCGGAACUAUAGCAGAAUUCUUAGUCAACUUCCGAUAUUAUCUUCCAACUAUGCUGUAACCAAUUCUGACAGUAUUCAUUCUAGGUCCAAUGACCUCAUCUCAUCCAACACGACCACUCUGAUGACAUGACAUAUCAAUACAAUCCAACGCCAUAACCUGUGCAACUCGUGCACCCAAUACCAACAUCCCAAAUGUACUCAAAUCGUGAAAAAAUGACUCAAAUGAGAGGACUGUCCCGCAAGCUUAACAAGUAAUGCCACAACGAAAUACUGAAAAUCUAUCACACCUCAUAGGACCAUCACUCGAAUCUAACACAAAGGUUCAUACCUUAACAUAAUUUCACUGCGAUGCAUGCCCCAUCCAAACAUGAAUCCAUGGCAUAUACCUCAAGAUACCUUGCAGAAAAUCAAUAACCACGCGUAAUUCGACAUCAAGUACUCAAAGUGCAUUACCAUAACCACGGAGAAGCUAAUGACAUAAUGCCACACAAAACGUGAAAGAGCAUAACCAAUACGCCAUCCACCAAGCAAACCCAAUACUUUUCCCGCUAAAAUUCCGCUAUAAGACCCCAAUAGAACCGCACCAUAUGUGUAUAUAACCAACAAAUCAUAAUCCCUCGUAACACAGAAGAGUAACUCAUAGAUCACUCCAGAACACAAAUAAACUCAACAACAAUCGAAUGGCACAUCCCUCAAUAAUAGCAGUUCAGAGUCAAUAAAUCCGACCUGAUGCAGAACACACAUCCAUAUUGGGCCUACCAAUGAACCCCAAAUCAACUCUUGUGAUGACCCAAAAGGUCAUCAUCACUUGUUUUAGAAAUAAAUUUUGUAUUCCGAGGCCUUAAGAACCUCUUUUUGUAUCACCUCAAUUUGCGUGCACAGUCCGGGCGUGAAUCCGAAAAGCUAUUAUGUGAAAAUUUGUGAAAAAUGAUAAAUUUUGCUUUUAAAAUGAAUUUAAGUUGACUUUGGUCAACAAUCUUCGUAAACGGACCUAGACCCGCGAUCCGACGGUCUUGUAGGGUCCGUAGUAAAAUUUGGGACUUGGUCAUAUAUCCGGAAUUGAAUUCCGAGGUCCCAAGCCCGAGAAAUUAAUUUUUAAAGAAAAUUAUUUUCUUGAAUAUAUAUGAGUUUUUGAAAAUAAAAUAUGUUUGAAUUUGAUGGUAUCGGGCCCGUAUUAUGGUUUCGGAGCCCGGUACAGGUCUUAUAUGAGAUUUAGGUUGAGCCUGUAAAAUUUGGUAAGAAACGAACUUGAUAUGACGUGAAUCGGACCACUGAUUGUUAAAAUUGGAACUUAAGAGUUCAUGAGAUUUUUCUUUGAUUUUGAUGCUAAAUUCAUACUUAUUUAUGUUAUUUUGAUGAUUUGAUCGUACCAGCAAGUCCGUAUGAUAUUUUCGGACUUGCGUGCAUGUUUGGUUUAGAGCCCCAGGGCUCGGGUAAAUUUUGGAUAGGCCACCGAGUGUUUUGAACUUAGGAAAAACUUCUGGUAUAUUGCAGAUCUGCAGGCUUCGCAAUUGCGAGCUUGCAUUUGCGAAUAACCCCUCGCAUUUGCAAAGCUUAUGUCACCAAUGCAACCUUGACAUGUACCGCAAUUGCGAACACUGUUCACAUUUGCGAAGAAAGCAGACAUAGGCCCUUCUUCGCAAUUGCGAAGCUUUGGCCGCAAUUGCGAGUUCGCAUUUGAGAACCAGGCUUCGCAAUUGCGAUAUCCGCGCCUGUGUAAAUCAUGACUUAACCGAAAAUCUCUCAUUUUUCAAACCUUCUCAAAACCUAAACACCUUUGGGCCAUUUUUCAAAGAGAAGUACUCUUCCAAAUCGAUUGUAAGUCAGUUCUAACUCGUUUUCAUUAAUCUUUAACAUCUAUUCACAUGAUUUCAACUCAAAAUCAAGGGUUUUCAUAGGGGAAAUUGGGUGUUUUGGGUCGAACUUAGGUUUUUCAAAUUUUGAGGAUUUGGACCUAGAUUUGAGGUCUAAUUUCAAAAAAAAUUAUAUAUUUGGGUUCGUAGGUGAAUGGUUAAUCGGGUUUUGGUUUGAAACUCGGGUUUUGACCAUGUGGGCCCGAGAUCGAUUUUUGACUUUUUGGGAAAAACUUUAGAAAACUUAUUUUCAUGCAUUAGAAUUGAUCCAUUUAGCAUUUAUUGAUAUAAUUAAGUAACUUGUGGCUAGAUACAAAUGAAUUGGUGGUGGAAACAAGAGGUAAAUCGGUAGUUGAUGCUUGAAUUGUGUUCGUGGCAUCGAGGUAAGUGUUUGGUCUAACCUUAGCUUGAGGGAUAAGGAGUUGUGUACUAUUUGCUAUGUGUUAGUUGUUGAGUACGACAUAUAGGCAUGAUGACGAGUAUCUAUAUGUUGGUGUCAAGCAUGCCCGUGAGUCUUAUACUAUAAUUAAUGUGACUCCGUUUGUAUUGUUUAUGCUUAUGAGAUGAUUUCUAUUGUUGAGCAAGGCUUGUGGAAGUAAUAUUGGUAUUUGAACAUUGAAGAGCGUUGGCUCAAGUUGUAAAAUGAUUUGUGGAAGUAUAAUUGACAAUUGAACAUUAUAGAGAGUUGGCUCAAAUUGUGAAUUGAGUUGUAAAGUAAAUGUGAAAAAGAAAAGAGGAUUAUGAUAUUGUCUCCCUUGCCGGGAUGUUAUUGUUUUGAUAUUGUUUUCCCUUGCCGGGAUAUGAUUGUUGUACUAUUGUUCCCUUGCCGGGAUUUUAUUAUGAUUUUAUUGAUUCCCUUGCCCUUAUUGCUUUGUGAUUGUUGUUUGGGUAAGGAAGAGUGUUAAAGCAUGAAGGGUGAUGCGGUGCAUGAUUUUUGUGAGAGAGUGUCAAAGCACGAAGGGUGAUGCCGUGUAUGAUAUUUGUGAGAGAGUGUUAAUGCACGAAGAGUGAUGCCGUGCCACAUGAUGUACAAUUCUAUGCCUUUAUAUGAGUGAUAAUGCACGAAGGAUCAUUUCGUGCCAUGAUUGUGUGAGGUAAAAGAACGAAGGGUGAUGCCGUGCAAAUUUUAUUGAUUUUAUGGUGAGGACAAGAGUAAAAGCACGAAGAGUGAUGCCAUGCACUUGUCUUUGAUUUUCCUGAUUUCUAUUAAUAAUUGAGUUGUGGUGUUCUUUACAUUUAACUGUUGGUUUCAGUUGCUACUUGUUGUUUCCCCGCAGCAUGAUUCCCCCUUCCUAUCUUUAAUUAUAAAGUUUUGCUUUUAUUUACCGCUGUAUAUGAUUUAACUGCACAGGUUUACUUGGUAGUCUGGUCGUAGCCUCGUUACUACUUCGUCGAGGUUAGGCUAUGCACUUACUAGGAGAUGGGGUCGGUUGUGCUGAUACUACACUCUGUACUGUGUGCAGAUCCCGGUACUGGAGCAUACAGACCUUAGCUUUGGGGUGCUGUCUUCAGUCCAUUCGGAGAUCCGAGGUAGUCUUGCAGGCAUCCAAGGCACUGGCGUCUCCUUCUAUCCUUUCAUCCUGUUUCAUUUAUGUAUUUCAGGGACAUCAUUGUAUUUUUUUUUUUGGGCCCUUAUUUGUAGUAAUCCUAGACCGUCUGUGAAAUUGUGACACCAGUUCUAGGUG